GAAUGUGUAGCUCAGCCGGAUAGAGCAAUCUCCUCCUAAGAGAUAGGUCGGCGGUUCGAAUCCGCCCACGUUCGCCA
This is a transfer RNA of 77 nucleotides. It matches the Rfam family "tRNA". Rfam says of the family: Transfer RNA (tRNA) molecules are approximately 80 nucleotides in length. Their secondary structure includes four short double-helical elements and three loops (D, anti-codon, and T loops).